Molecule: long non-coding RNA, 7410 nt
Organism: Hemicordylus capensis (graceful crag lizard)
Lineage: Eukaryota; Metazoa; Chordata; Lepidosauria; Squamata; Cordylidae
Exons: 3
Source: RefSeq, a predicted model, not a curated record
GUGGGCUAACUUGCAAACUGCUUAACUCAUUUGAACCUAAUUUGGUACCGCUGUAGGGACACCUCAAUGGUGUAAUUUGUGAUGUCAUCCACCCCAAUCCAAGAUGGUGGUUGUGUGAAGUUUUGAAGUGCAAGUGCACUAAUUUGUGGGCUGUCUAACCCAUUUGAAUCAAAUUGGGUACAGAUGAGUGAGUGACACACAAGGACACCUCAGUGGCAUAGUUUGUGACACCAAUUCACCAAUUCAAUUCAUCCACACCAAUUCAAGAUGGCAGACGGCACAAACUUUGGAGGCACAAGUGGGCGAACUUGUAAACUGCUUAAGUGAUUUGAACCAAAAUUGCUACAGCUGUAGGGACACAUAGAGAUGUCCCAGUGGUGUAGUUUGUGAUUAUGUCAUCUACUCCAAUCCAAGAUGGUGGAUGUGUAACUUUUGAGGCGCAAGUGCACUAACGUGAGGAUUGUCCAACUGAUUUAAACCAAAUUUGGUACAGUUGUACUGAGUUACACACAUGGAUACCUCAAUGGUGUAGUUUGUAAUGUCAUCCACCCUGAUCUAAGAUGGCGGAUGCAUGAACAUUUGAGAUGCAAGAGCUCUAACUUGUGGGCCUCGAUUUGAACCAAAUUUAGUCCAAUUGUAGAGAUAUUGAAAGGAAAGUAGACUGCUUAGUUCUUACUAGAACAACUUGUUAACACUUCCUUUCUUCUGCUGAAAACUGUCUUUCACUCCACACUUCUGUUUGCUUGGAUUGGUUUGCCCCUUUCUCCUGUCCUGCAGGAGGAGACAACUCUUUAUCAAGGAUUGCCUUUUAAAAAUAUAUAUAUUGCGCAAACACUGUAUUUUUGCAGGUUUCAGUGGAAAAUGGCAAGGGGGCAAAGGGUUAAACUCGCUUUCCUCCACCAUAUGGACUCCCCUCCCUGUGUGAGAGAGAGUGAGAGAAUGAUGUGUUUAACCUUGUGUCUUUUGCCCCAAACCCAGCAAGUUCAUCUUCUCCUGGGCACAAAAAUGACUACAAUGAGUAAGUUGUGCCUGUUGAUUUUCUCCCUGUCAGGCUGCUGUUGAAGGCACAGAAACUUUCAUUUAAAAAGCUGGAAACAUUCCGCUUGUCUAAUCCAUCAACACCACACUUUCAUAUGGUGUUGUGUCUUACAUGGCCGUCUCUGCCACAUUUGGCAGGGAUCUUGUGAGAACCAGUGUGGUGUAAUUGUGGAUAGUGUUGAACUUGGGCUGGGGAGAGCUGGGUUUAAAUUGCAGCUCAGUGUGUAACUCUGGGAUAGUCACUACUUUUCAGUGUCAUGUACAGCACAAUACUUUGAGCCUAAAAUAGGAGGGGGUAACGCCCCCACAUCUGCUGUCCUGUGCUCCUUCACAGAAGGGCCAGGGCAAGAUACAAAUGUGUGACAACUAAUAAUAAACAAGCCAUGCCAAAACAAACAACAACACACACCCCCGGGGUGGGGGGAAUACCAGUUACAUUUUCCCCCUUGCUGAAAAUCACAUUAGACUCAUAAUGAUCCCAGCUGCCACAAGAAUGGGUGGGGGGUUUUGUGUAGACCGAGGCUUCUGGAGGCCUACCUGCCAUAGUGGGAGUAAACUCCUCCAGGCUGUAUUAUCGAUGUGCUCUUAAUUUUGCAUCUUAUCCCCCCCCUCCCUGCCUCAACACAAUCCUUUGAGAGAGGCCCGAGAGAGAUUUGCACAUGGCUCAAGGCCUCCUAACUAAGUUUCAUAACUAAGCAGUGUUUUUAACUUGGGCCUCGUACAUUUUCCAUGUAAAGGCUCACCAGUGCUGUGCUUUUACAUUGCAUGACAGGCAAAAAUUCAAUAGAUAAAAGCUUUCUACUUCAACACCUCUCCAUGGUGGGAAAAGAAAUUCUGGCAUUGAGUAGUUACAUUAUGAUUUAACACUACAUCGCUGAAACAAAGAAAUGAGAAGCUGUUUUGGGGAUGCACCCUAUUUAUUAUGUCAUGAAUGCUUGGCUUCUUCAGAAGCACAACAUGUACUUUAGGCUGCUGCUGAUAAAAUCAGGGUGCUUCUAAAUGUUACAACACAUUUGGUUUUUCUUCUAUAUUGAAAGUGAGCCUGUAUUCAGAAUGUUCCUUUAAACACAGCCCUGGGUGCACAACAUGUUGGCUGUCCUCUUAUCACUUGUCAGGGUCACAAGUAAAAGGAUUAGGAGGGCAAGGGAAGAUGGAGAGCACUUAUGUGUGUGUCUUUAUGACUGCUGAGUGCAGGCAAAGGACAGCAUUGGGAACUUAUAGGGCUGGUUCCUGCAUUAAUGUUCAAUACUUGAUGACUUGCAUGAGUAACUGGGUUGUCACAGUUAAUAAUAUCACAUCUUCAUUGCUCAAAAUUGCAGUGAUUUUUCAAAGCCAUGCUGCAUGUUACAUCAAGCAUCUGCCUAACACUGAUGUGCUUGGUUUCCUUUCCUUUUCAAAGCAGCAGCAGUGGUGGAGGCAAUCCAGACUGGAACUAGGCUGUGUGGGUGGUGGGGGGUGGUGUAGGGGCUUUAACUUUUGCUUCCACCACACUCUCAGUCCAGAUCAGACCCCUGUGACUGCUAGUUCUUUCAGGGAGAAAGCUUGGUGACCAGUGGGAGGGUGACAUAUACAGUAUGUUUGACUACAGUAUGUGUGCUUACAUUUGUUACUUGACUGCAUAUACAUACAACUAACCCAGUAAUCUUUCCUAAGUUACACUUUCUAUUUCAUUAUGAACAGCAGAAAUGGUGCAUCAUUCAUACAGCCAAUUCCUUUAAGAAGAAAGAAAAUAUCAGCAGUUCUAAACUUCCUAAAAAUAAUUUAUGUAAACCAGAACAUAACCCCUGCUAACCUGGCAAAGAGGCACAUUUUAAUAUGGUGAUUCUCUUUAUUUAGCAGGGGGAGAGUAGCUGGCACUAUCCACCCCAGCACAGUUCCUCCAGUGACUGUUGCUGGUGUCUAAUGUUUCUUUUUAGAUUGUGAGCCCUUUGGGGACAGGGAUCCAUCUUAUUUCUGUAUCAUUUGUCUUUGUAAACCACCCUGAGCCAUUUUUGGAAGGGCGGUAUAGAAAUUGAAUUAAUAAUAACAUAUAUGAAUGCAUUUCUUUUAUGCAGUAAAUAUAUUGACUGACAUGCUGCACAGUGAAACCUCUGGGUUAGCAAGCUGCUGGGGCUGCUGUACACAAAAAGGCAGUCCCAAGGCUGUUGUGGAAGUGGGCUCUUGUGAAACUCCUUAAAACACCAUGCAGGCUACUUCCAUUGGAAAUAAGGGCCCCCUGAAUCCCAGAGUCAAUCCAGUGUUUAUUAAAAACUAAAUCAAGUCCCUAUCAUUUUCGGCACUGGAAAAUGCUCUGAUUAAAAUUUCUCUGGAAAACCCUCAUCACUGCAAUAAACGUAAAUAGGUUCCUAAGAAAAUAAUGCAAUAGAAAAAGGAAAUGCUCCGGCUCCACUUGAAUCAUCUUCUGAUUGCAAACAGCAUUUGUAGCGGCUUUAAAAAAGGGCUGACCCAAUUUGUGCCGAUUGCGUCAGGUGCAUGAGUAGCUCUCAUGUAGGGGUUCAGGUCCAUACAGUCAGGAUCUCCAAGUAAUUCCAGCCAGAUAAUGAGCUAGUCUUGUAUACUCACUCCCAUAGGCAAUUAUCUGGGCCCACCAAGCAUCUCAACUGGGUUUCAGCUAAUUAAGUUAGGAAGAGAUGAGGUCAGUUCAUUAAAAUAUUGCAUUCAAUUUCCUUGCUAUGGAAGUUGGCCUAAGGUUAAGGAAAAAUGUACUAAUGUUUUUAUGACUGUCUUUUUAUGUUAGCUUUCAAAUACACCUUGGGAAAAGUUCCUUUUUGAUCAUAAAAUGCUUUUUAUUUGUAAGAAUGUAAAGCAACUAUUAUUUGAGGUUUCAGCCAAGAAACCCAGAAGAUAGAUCUGUAAUCCUGCUGUUCCUGAGGCAGACAGCAGUGGUUUCUUUUCUAUAGAUUACUAACUGGGGAGGAUAUACCAUCAUGUAAGCAUCAGGAGUAACAGCCUGCAGGAGGGACUGUUCUGUAUUAUUUGGGUGCCUUUUAGUCAGCAAGGCAAUUCAACACAUUUUUAUAAUAAGAAAUAAAAAUAAAAUGAAUAUCUAGAAGCAUGCACAAGCCUAUCUGCAUGGAGUACAUUCUCAUGUCACGGUUCUUUUUUAUUUACAUAAAGAGUAUUCGUUCAAUUAGCCUCAAGUAAGACAAGCCACAUUUUGAGGUUCAUUGAGACUUCCUUAUCCACAUUAAUACCAUCCUUCCAUGCAGCUAUUCCCUAUCCCAUCCUGCUCCUUUUCAUUGUUUGUAGUUCCCCGUUGAGAUUCAGAACAACAUUUAUCUGUCUAUACAAUCCUCUUGACAUCUUAGGAACACUGCCAAGGUAUGCCUUGUCUUGUAUAGCCAGCAUGAAGGGUUUAAUACAUUACUUUUAAUUACCUGCUAGUUCAUUACUGAACUUGAGAGAUUCAGCAAACAGUUAUCUUAGCUUGAUCACUGUGACUCUGUUUGCUGAAGUUCUUAGAUGCAACUGCGAGUAUCUGUAAAAAUUGACAUGCCAUUCCAAUGUCUUAGACCCCUGGCUUAGAACUGGGAAACUACUGACAAGAUGCUUUCAAAUGUAUUUGCUUCUCUCGAUCAGAAUGUAGUGAUAAGAAACAUGGCAAUAAGUAAGAUUAUGCAGAGCAGUGCUUGGUGGCUUUAAAAACCACGACCUUCCACCCCUUUUGAGAUACAGUGAAAAAGGAAAUGGCAUGAUAAAAAGGAAAUGGCAAUUGAAACCUUGUACAGGCAUUUAUCUCCUUUUCCUGUUGCUGUUUUUCUACCACCAUUGGCACUUCUGUGGCUGCCACUUCUACGGUAAAAUCACUAGUGAUUUUUAUUUCUGUCACAUUGACAGGUGUGAUGCAUCAAUCAGAUCAAAUGCAGUGAGGAGAUAGCAUGAUGUCCAAAAGCUCAGCAUGCACCUUUUGAAUGGUUUUUUGGGGGAAACCUCUGACCUUCACUGCAGAGAGUUUUACACCUCUUCUUGUUUUUCUUAAUGUGUCAGCACCAGCAGGGUGUGCUAGAAUGUAGGCAGUUGAUGCAUCUUUCUGAAGAUUCAGCUAGUCCAUUUCAAAAAGCUCUUUGAUUUCACCUAAGGAGUCUGUUCUCAGGGAAAACUAGAAAAUAUCGGUAUUGCAAUAUCAAUAUUGUACCAAAAAAUCCCAAUGCCUUACUUCUAAUCCAAGUGGUGUGACUAAAAUGUUGUUUACCAUUGAAGUUAGUCUGAUUCCCCUGGAAGACGAUUAACACUAUGUUUCCAAAGGAUGGUUUUUGGUGGUUUCCUUUGCUUCUUUUGGUUCUUUAAAAGCAUCAGCUGCAUUCUAUAUUUUCUAGACUGAAGCCCCUAAAUAAAACCACAUAGAGCUUUGAAAGUGAAAUUAUUAUUGAACCAAGUUGAAGAGAAGCAAUUGGGUUAGACAUUUUAGUGCAAAUGAUGAUUUGGAAUGUGCUGACUCCAUGCGCUUGGCCUCUUUCAGCGGAUCUGUAGUGGCUGUUAUUAAGUUCAUUAACCAUGUUUUCAUAACACUCCCAAUAUACAUAUUUUUUUUGAGCAGUGGUCCUCUAGUGUAAUUCCCUUGGGUCCUCCAAGAAAGGAAGUGGCGAAUGUUCUUUUCAAAAGCAUGAAGUGGGAAAAUGUUAAGAACUAUUUAUAGGAGCACUUAGGCUGUGGAAAUCCCAGACAUUAUCUAUCUAUUUAUAGCAUGGGGGUGUGUGUGUUAAGAAGAUGUAUUUAUUAACAGGAUUUAUAUCCCAAUAAUGCCUUUCCUGAAAGACAGUCCAAGGUGGCUAACAAAAGAUACAGUAUUGUAUAAAAUUUGCCAUUGAAAACUAUAAACGUUUUAAAUUACAGACGUCGUAAAAACAGCAGCAUUUAUCCAACCGAUGACCAGUGCAGUCCUUAAACCAACUGAUGAGCUGUGCAAUCCUAUGCAUGUCUACACAGAAGGAAACCCAUGUUAGUUCAAUGGCACUUAGACCAGCAUAUUAUAGGAUGCCUUUGAAUAAUUCCUUCAGGAGUGGCCUUAUCCUUCAACAGGAAAACAAGUGCUGUUCAAAAGUGCAGCUAGGCAAUCUGCAGUAAACCCAAAACAUGCCCGGAAUCCAGAAUACCACAAGAUCCGGUAGGCACACAACAACAGGCAAGGUUAUUUUGGCAGGUUGCAGUACUCAGAACUGCUCUUGGGCAAAGCGCAAGAAGAAAAACAGGCAUUGGGGCCUUACUCCUAGGAGCUUCUGCAAAUGUGUUGAUCGAAGCAACUACUUCAUGUCUCCUAGGUUCUCAGGUGUGCCUGAAGUUUGCUAAGCUUCAUCUGCCUGUAAUGGGGUAUGUGUGUGUGAGACAGAGAGAGAUAGAGAGAGACUAGCAUAGUGGGGUUUGUAGAAUGUGGCCUUUAGGUCUGACAGCAAAAUCAUGUCUGCUGUAGUUGCACUGGUAUUUUACAUUGAUAUACAUGUUGCUAUUAAAAAUACUUCUAUGAAGUUUGCACUUAAUAGAAAAUACAAUAAAAUUGGAUUUGGUUGACAUAAGAAAAUAAUGAUUUGUUUUGUUAUUAUUGCCUAGUAUAAAUCAGCACAAAUUUCUGUUUGAACCAUCUGAGUGGAACCGGUCAGGACAAAUAAUUUUCCUGUUUAAACUGUACUGCUACAUUUUACAACUCUAGAAUAAGGUCACUGGCUCUGCAAGAUGCCUACUAAAAUCUAAGCUUAUACAUUUACCCAUUCUGAAUUAAGCACUGGUAUGUUAGAAUGCAAUCCAGAGUAAGUGCUCAAAUGCAGUUUAGAUUAAGUGCUCAAGUGUAACUGAAUUCAAGUGCACUGUUAAGACAUUGCACAACUUUCCAUAUUAAAGUUGUGCUUAAUAUGGACGUGUGAAGAUACCAAAAAGGGUAGAUACUAACUUUUGAUGUUUAACAGGGAAAUAUGGAGGCUGCUCUCUUUAGUAGGCUGCUGACAGAAGGUUCUUCUACUGGAAACAGAGGGGAAUAACUAAAAUUUGGGCAAGCUCUGAUGCAGCUUCUUCUUUAUUUCUACACAUGAUUAAAUUAGGAGUAGGACCAUGGGCUUGUAUAAUUAGUUCCUAUCCCCCUCCCAUCACUCACAGAAAUGAAUACCAAACUGGCUGAUUUGAUGAAAUGAGAGUUUGUAAGUGAUAUGGUUUAAAGUAAUAUUGGAGGUUUUGGAUGGAAGGUAAUGGAGGCAGCAAAAGCCCUGUGGUGACUGGGGAUUCCAUAUACACAUGAGGAUAGAAGGCCUAUGACAGUUAAGGUCAGUUUGAUUCAAAGUUAGAGUGCCUAUUACUGAAUGUAAAGAUGUGCUUUUUGAUAGCUCUGUGUAAGGAAAGAAUUGUUGCAUAUAUUUUCAAACAAGAAUAAAUUGCUGUUUAUCUGGA